AGUAAAUAGAUACCCAGGUAGUCCACGCCGUAAACGAUGUCGACUUGGAGGUUGUGCCCUUGAGGCGUGGCUUCCGGAGCUAAACGCGUUAAGUCGACCGCCUGGGGAGUACGGCCGCAAGGUUAAAACUCAAAUGAAUUGACGGGGGCCCGCACAAGCGGUGGAGCAUGUGGUUUAAUUCGAUGCAACGCGAAGAACCUUACCUACUCUUGACAUCCAGAGAACUUUCCAGAGAUGGAUUGGUGCCUUCGGGAACUCUGAGACAGGUGCUGCAUGGCUGUCGUCAGCUCGUGUUGUGAAGUGUUGGGUUAAGUCCCGCAACGAGCGCAACCCUUAUCCUUUGUUGCCAGCGGUUAGGCCGGGAACUCAAAGGAGACUGCCAGUGAUAAACUGGAGGAAGGUGGGGAUGACGCCAAGUCAUCAUGGCCCUUACGAGUAGGGCUACACACGUGCUACAAUGGCGCAUACAAAGAGAAGCGACCUCGCGAGAGCAAGCGGACCUCAUAAAGUGCGUCGUAGUCCGG
This 524-nucleotide ribosomal RNA is filed under the name uncultured bacterium. RNAcentral's name for it is "bacterial SSU rRNA". It matches the Rfam family "Bacterial small subunit ribosomal RNA", at positions 774 to 1296 of the family's 1533-position model. The record is from RNAcentral.